Molecule: long non-coding RNA, 730 nt
Filed under: Homo sapiens (human)
Lineage: Eukaryota; Metazoa; Chordata; Mammalia; Primates; Hominidae
Description: HSALNT0157261
Source: RNAcentral
AGGACCCACUCACCUCUCCCCAGGCUGGACCCAGGCGUCUCCUGAGAGAGCCGAGUUCAUGUGAAGACUCUCCCUCCUGCGAGGCUCCCGCCCACUGAUCCAUCCGGACUAAACUCUUCAGCUCCCAAAGCUGCCCUGGUUCCUGCAGUCUGGGGAGUCAGGGAGUCAGGGAGGACUUGAAGUCACUCACCUGGAAGCCCGUGUGCUGCGGGGCUGAGGUUGAGGCUCCCACAGGAGGAGCUGAGGGUGGCAUCUGAGAACAAGUGGUUUAUUUGGGAGGUGGCCCGAGGAAGUGAGGCUCCCCACAGGAGGAGCUGAGGGUGGCAUCUGAGAACAAGUGGUUUAUUUGGGAGGUGGCCCGAGGAAGUGAGGCUCCCCACAGGAGGAGCUGAGGGUGGCAUCUGAGAGCAGGUGGUUUAUCUGGGAGGUGGCCCCAGGAAGCGGACCGGGGAAGGCACCUUGCCCAGCAGUUUGACCUUGUGGGCAGCUCAUGCUGGGCCUGUGGGGCCUCCCGGGGAUGCGAUGAUCCCCACAGGAGGAAUCCGUGGUGUUUAUCUACCUGCUCCUGCUUGGUGGGGGCAGGAGUGGUUUUCUACUGCUAAGGAGCCCCACUGCGGAUGGGAUGUUUGGUUGGCACCUUCCAGUCACCUGCACAGCCCCAGGGCAGGCCCUUGGCUUUUCUUCCCAUCCUGGCAACAAGAAGGGGAUGUGGCUGAAAACACCCCACACC